UUUUGGACAAUGGGGGCAACCCUGAUCCAGCAAUGCCGCGUGGGUGAAGAAGGCCUCCGGGUUGUAAAGCUCUUUUGUCAGGGAAGAAACACCGGCUCUAACACAGUCCGGGAAUGACGGUACCUGAAGAAUAAGCACCGGCUAACUACGUGCCAGCAGCCGCGGUAAUACGUAGGGUGCGAGCGUUAAUCGGAAUUACUGGGCGUAAAGCGUGCGCAGGCGGUUAUACAAGACAGGCGUGAAAUCCCCGGGCUUAACCUGGGAAUGGCGCCUGUGACUGUAUAGCUAGAGUGUGUCAGAGGGGGGUAGAAUUCCACGUGUAGCAGUGAAAUGCGUAGAUAUGUGGAGGAAUACCAAUGGCGAAGGCAGCCCCCUGGGAUAACACUGACGCUCAUGCACGAA
Molecule: ribosomal RNA, 402 nt
Filed under: uncultured bacterium
Lineage: Bacteria
Description: bacterial SSU rRNA
Rfam family: Bacterial small subunit ribosomal RNA
Source: RNAcentral